This is a long non-coding RNA of Telopea speciosissima, 598 nucleotides long. RefSeq lists it as uncharacterized. NCBI's taxonomy places the organism in Eukaryota, Viridiplantae, Streptophyta, Magnoliopsida, Proteales, Proteaceae. The transcript has 2 exons. The record is from RefSeq and is a predicted model, not a curated record.
GACCUGGAUGCAUAGUUUGUUUCAAUGCCCUUUUCACUCUUAUAAACAAGAUUAUUGAUUGGAGCUGUUGAUUUUGUUUUAAUAUCUUUUAUGGGAUUACAAGAUGGAGAAAAAUACUUGAAGGGAAAAUAAGGAAACCAUAGAUGCUCCAUUGCUGAAUUUUAUGUUCUGCUAAAAAAAGGUGGAAAUAUCCUCAUCAUCAGUUGAAGAGGGUUUGGAUAGUGAAGGAUUGGAAAGUGUGAGAAGGGCAAGAGGGAGUUAGACUGAAAGUUCAAACUGAUAUAUAGAAUGAUGGUAGUUAUUUUGGUGGUGGGCAGAUGCAGGUGGUGCAUGCCUAAUUCAUAAGUAUGGUAAGGGUAGUGGAGAAUUUCUGUUCAAGAACCCUAAAAUUGAUGGUAAGUAUUUUGGAGGUAGGCUGAUGCAGGUGGUCAUGCAUUAAUCAAAAGUAUGGUGAGGAUACUGGGAAAUUUUCUGUUGAAGAAAUCUAAGUGCCAGGGUUUGGGGUGACCCAAAGCUUUGACUAGAAAUAAGAAAAUUUUGUAAUACCACUUCUUUUUUCCCAGGACAAUGAAAUGUUAUGAUGCAACAUUAGCUAAAA